This is a small nuclear RNA of Myotis lucifugus (little brown bat), 107 nucleotides long. Lineage: Eukaryota; Metazoa; Chordata; Mammalia; Chiroptera; Vespertilionidae. The record is from Ensembl.
GUGCUCGCUUUGGCUGCACAAACACUGAAAGCGGAACGACACGGACAAGAUUAGCAUGGCCCCUGCGCAAGGACGACAUGCAAAUUCGUGAAACGUUCCACAUUAAA